Molecule: ribosomal RNA, 329 nt
Filed under: uncultured sludge bacterium
Lineage: Bacteria
Description: bacterial SSU rRNA
Rfam family: Bacterial small subunit ribosomal RNA
Source: RNAcentral
UACGGAGGAUCCGAGCGUUAUCCGGAAUUAUUGGGUUUAAAGGGUGGUCGUAGGCGGCCGACUUUAAGUUCAGCGGUGAAAUUUUAGUCAGCUUAACUGUAACAGUGCCGUUGAUACUGUUUGGUCUAGGAUUUGGUUGUUAGUGCGCGGAAUGUGUGGUGUAGCGGUGAAAUGCUUAGAUAUCACACAGAACACCGAUUGCGAAGGCAGCACACUAAGUCAUUAUUGACGCUGAGGCACGAAAAGUGUGGGGAGUCAAACAGGAUUAGAUACCCUGGUAGUCCACGCUGUAAACGAUGAUAACUCGCUGUCGGCGAUACACAGUCGGU